CCUACGGGUGGCAGCAGUGAGGAAUAUUGGUCAAUGGCCGUAGGGCUGAACCAGCCAAGUAGCGUGCAGGAUGACGGUCCUAUGGAUUGUAAACUUCUUUUAUCAGGGAGUAAAGUGCGUCACGUGUGGCGCUUUGUGAGUACCUGAUGAAAAAGCACCGGCUAAUUCCGUGCCAGCAGCCGCGGUAAUACGGAGGAUGCGAGCGUUAUCCGGAUUUAUUGGGUUUAAAGGGGGCGAAGGCGGAAUGUUAAGCGAGCGGUAAAAUGCCGGGGCUCAACCCCGGCGUGUGGUUGAAACUGGCGUUCUUGAGUGAGCGGAAAGUAUGCGGAAUGCGUGGUGUAGCGGUGAAAUGCAUAGAUAUCACGCAGAACUCCGAUUGCGAAGGCAGCAUACCGGCGCUCUACUGACGCUGAUGCUCGAAGGCGUGGGUAUCGAACAGGAUUAGAUACCCUGGUAGUC
This 459-nucleotide ribosomal RNA is filed under the name uncultured bacterium. RNAcentral describes it as "partial 16S ribosomal RNA". It matches the Rfam family "Bacterial small subunit ribosomal RNA", at positions 338 to 795 of the family's 1533-position model. The record is from RNAcentral.